AUGAUAACAAUUAGUGGCAGACGGGUGAGUAAUGCAUAGGAAUCUACCUAGUAGUAUGGGAUAGCCACUAGAAAUGGUGGGUAAUACUGUAUAAUCCCUGCGGGGGAAAGAUUUAUCGCUAUUAGAUGAGCCUAUGUUAGAUUAGCUAGUUGGUAGGGUAAAGGCCUACCAAGGCAGUGAUCUAUAGCUGGUCUGAGAGGAUGAUCAGCCACACUGGAACUGAGAUACGGUCCAGACUCCUACGGGAGGCAGCAGUGGGGAAUAUUGGACAAUGGGCGCAAGCCUGAUCCAGCUAUGCCGCGUGAGUGAGGAAGGCCUUAGGGUUGUAAAACUCUUUCAGUGGGGAAGAUAAUGACGGUACCCACAGAAGAAGUCCCGGCAAACUCCGUGCCAGCAGCCGCGGUAAUACGGAGGGGGCAAGCGUUGUUCGGAAUUAUUGGGCGUAAAGGGCAUGUAGGCGGUUCGGUAAGUUAAAGGUGAAAUGCCAGGGCUUAAC
Molecule: ribosomal RNA, 496 nt
Filed under: Anaplasma phagocytophilum
Lineage: Bacteria; Pseudomonadati; Pseudomonadota; Alphaproteobacteria; Rickettsiales; Anaplasmataceae
Description: bacterial SSU rRNA
Rfam family: Bacterial small subunit ribosomal RNA
Source: RNAcentral